This 492-nucleotide ribosomal RNA is filed under the name uncultured bacterium. Its description in RNAcentral is "partial 16S ribosomal RNA". It matches the Rfam family "Bacterial small subunit ribosomal RNA", at positions 29 to 507 of the family's 1533-position model. The record is from RNAcentral.
AGUGAACGCUGGCGGCAGGCUUAACACAUGCAAGUCGAACGGCAGCACAGUAAGAGCUUGCUCUUACGGGUGGCGAGUGGCGGACGGGUGAGGAAUACAUCGGAAUCUACUUUUUCGUGGGGGAUAAAGUAGGGAAACUUACGCCAAUACCGCAUACGACCUAAGGGUGAAAGCAGGGGAUCUUCGGACCUUGCGCGAUUGAAUGAGCCGAUGUCGGAUUAGCUAGUUGGCGGGGUAAAGGCCCACCAAGGCGACGAUCCGUAGCUGGUCUGAGAGGAUGAUCAGCCACACUGGAACUGAGACACGGUCCAGACUCCUACGGGAGGCAGCAGUGGGGAAUAUUGGACAAUGGGCGCAAGCCUGAUCCAGCCAUGCCGCGUGGGUGAAGAAGGCCUUCGGGUUGUAAAGCCCUUUUGUUGGGAAAGAAAAGCAGCAGGUUAAUACCCCGCUGUUCUGACGGUACCCAAAGAAUAAGCACCGGCUAACUUCGUG